GUGGGGAAUUUUGGACAAUGGGCGCAAGCCUGAUCCAGCCAUUCCGCGUGCAGGACGAAGGCCUUCGGGUUGUAAACUGCUUUUGUACGGAACGAAAAAGUCCUGGCUAAUACCCAAGAUCCAUGACGGUACCGUAAGAAUAAGCACCGGCUAACUACGUGCCAGCAGCCGCGGUAAUACGUAGGGUGCGAGCGUUAAUCGGAAUUACUGGGCGUAAAGCGUGCGCAGGCGGUUAUAUAAGACAGAUGUGAAAUCCCCGGGCUCAACCUGGGAACUGCAUUUGUGACUGUAUAGCUAGAGUGCGGCAGAGGGGGAUGGAAUUCCGCGUGUAGCAGUGAAAUGCGUAGAUAUGCGGAGGAACACCGAUGGCGAAGGCAAUCCCCUGGGCCUGCACUGACGCUCAUGCACGAAAGCGUGGGGAGCAAA
RNAcentral lists this ribosomal RNA (426 nucleotides) under beta proteobacterium SCGC AAA487-E02. RNAcentral describes it as "bacterial SSU rRNA". It matches the Rfam family "Bacterial small subunit ribosomal RNA", at positions 354 to 772 of the family's 1533-position model. Lineage: Bacteria; Pseudomonadati; Pseudomonadota; Betaproteobacteria. The record is from RNAcentral.